GAGAUACACUUAAUCACCUAACUUCACAGGUAAGUUCCUUGUUGAAAUCUAAUGGUAUGAUAUAUGAUGCA
This is a small nucleolar RNA of Capsella rubella, 71 nucleotides long. It matches the Rfam family "Small nucleolar RNA snoR101". Lineage: Eukaryota; Viridiplantae; Streptophyta; Magnoliopsida; Brassicales; Brassicaceae. The record is from Rfam.